UGGGGAAUAUUGGACAAUGGGCGAAAGCCUGAUCCAGCAAUGCCGCGUGAGUGAUGAAGGCCUUAGGGUUGUAAAGCUCUUUUACCAGGGAUGAUAAUGACAGUACCUGGAGAAUAAGCUCCGGCUAACUUCGUGCCAGCAGCCGCGGUAAUACGAAGGGUGCAAGCGUUACUCGGAAUUACUGGGCGUAAAGCGUGCGUAGGUGGUUGUUUAAGUCUGAUGUGAAAGCCCUGGGCUCAACCUGGGAAUGGCAUUGGAAACUGAGCAGCUAGAGUGAGGUAGAGGGUAGUGGAAUUCCCGGUGUAGCAGUGAAAUGCGUAGAGAUCGGGAGGAACAUCUGUGGCGAAGGCGACUGCCUGGACCAGCACUGACACUGAGGCACGAAAGCGUGGGGAGCAAACA
This 402-nucleotide ribosomal RNA is filed under the name uncultured bacterium. RNAcentral describes it as "bacterial SSU rRNA". It matches the Rfam family "Bacterial small subunit ribosomal RNA", at positions 355 to 774 of the family's 1533-position model. The record is from RNAcentral.